CAACAUGUGUGUUUUUCAAAACUGUUACGGGGUGUAGACGGAGACAAGCGCGGGGAAGCGGAGAGAUGACGUGAGACUGAACACGAAAGGAGAAUCGAGUCGGGAUAGAGCAGAUCCUCACCGGCUUGUAACCAGCUUCUCUCGCCUUCAGCAGAGCGUCCAUUUCAUCCACCCACAAACACAAACAUGUGGGAUGAGGGAUUGAUGUGUCUGGUUCUGCUUCCUCAUGCUAAAGCUAAUUCAUCAUUUCAUUGUCAAAAAUGUUUAAGAAUCAGAUAUGAAACACUUGGUAUAAUGCAUGAAUAUCCACUUCACAACAAAUUCUUAAAAACAAUGUUAAUAAUAAUAAUAAUAGUGUGUGUGUGUGUGUGUGUGUGUGUGUGUGUGUGUGUGUGUGUGUGUGUGUGAAAAAAGUGUAUUAAAAUACUGAGCUGCAGAGCAGGAGUGUAUAUGAUCCAUAUGUAUGUGUGUUUUUAUGUGUGUAUAUGUGUGCACUCAUGCGCCAUCUGGAUCUGGUCAUCUACCGGAGCGGACUACAACAUGUAAAUGAUACCAUAGAUGUAGAAGGUAGACAUGUAACAUCUGCAUCUAGAGCUUGAGCUGAAAGCUCAUCUGCAACUGUAACUAGAACUGGGACACUAUCUACAGCUGGAACAGUGUCGACAUCUGGGACACCUUCUACUGAUGGAACUGUAUGUUCAGCUGGGACACUGUCUACUACUAAAUACUUUUCUACAGCCAACACGGAGUCUGCCACUAGAACAGUAUCUACAGAUGUUGCUGUAGUUACACUUGUACACUCUACAGUCACACACGGCACCUGACUGCUUGAUGGUGUGAUGGUGCCAGUGGUCUGCUGACGCAGUGCAGGUUCAACCAGAUCGGGCAUACUCUGGACAUCUGCUUAAAGAAAAAAGCACCAAACAAAGACAUAGUUACAGGCUUUGUCCUAAACCAUAUCCUGCUAUGCAAGUACAUUUGUGGUGAAAACUAAUCAAAAAAACUGUUAUCUACUGUAACUGGCUCAAAUGUUCAACUGUUACAUAAAAGCCAU
Ictalurus punctatus (channel catfish) is the source of this 1054-nucleotide long non-coding RNA. The record is from Ensembl. Lineage: Eukaryota; Metazoa; Chordata; Actinopteri; Siluriformes; Ictaluridae.